GAUGAACGCUGGCGGCGUGCCUAAUACAUGCAAGUCGAGCGAACAGACGAGGAGCUUGCUCCUCUGACGUUAGCGGCGGACGGGUGAGUAACACGUGGAUAACCUACCUAUAAGACUGGGAUAACUUCGGGAAACCGGAGCUAAUACCGGGUAAUAUAUUGAACCGCAUGGUUCAAUAGUGAAAGACGGUUUUGCUGUCACUUAUAGAUGGAUCCGCGCCGCAUUAGCUAGUUGGUAAGGUAACGGCUUACCAAGGCGACGAUGCGUAGCCGACCUGAGAGGGUGAUCGGCCACACUGGAACUGAGACACGGUCCAGACUCCUACGGGAGGCAGCAGUAGGGAAUCUUCCGCAAUGGGCGAAAGCCUGACGGAGCAAUGCCGCGUGAGUGAUGAAGGUCUUCGGGUCGUAAAACUCUGUUAUUAGGAAAGAACAAAUGUGUAAGUAACUCUGCCCGUCUUGACGGUACCUAAUCAGAAAGCCACGGCUAACUACGUG
RNAcentral lists this ribosomal RNA (497 nucleotides) under uncultured bacterium. RNAcentral describes it as "partial 16S ribosomal RNA". It matches the Rfam family "Bacterial small subunit ribosomal RNA", at positions 28 to 507 of the family's 1533-position model. The record is from RNAcentral.